Molecule: long non-coding RNA, 2953 nt
Organism: Homarus americanus (American lobster)
Lineage: Eukaryota; Metazoa; Arthropoda; Malacostraca; Decapoda; Nephropidae
Exons: 2
Source: RefSeq, a predicted model, not a curated record
GGAUGGAGGGUAUCCACACUACCCACUAGGAGGAUGGAGGGUGUCCACACUACCCACUAGGAGGAUGAAGGGUGUCCACACUACCCACUAGGAGGAUGAAGGGUGUCCACACUACCCACUAGGAGGAUGGUGUCCACACUACCCACUAGGAGGAUGGAGGGUGUCCACACUACCCGCUCGGAGGAUGGAGGGUGUCCACACUACCCACUAGGAGGAUGGUGUCCACACUACCCAGUAGGAGGAUGGAGGGUGUCCACACUACCCACUAGGAGGAUGGAGAGUAGCCACACUAUCCAAUGGGAAGAAUAAGGGUUUCCAAGUUACUUACUUCUAUGGUUGGCUAUAAAAUACCAUUUCAAGAUCAAGUUUCUCAUGUUAUGUGCACCAUUUUCCACACACACAAACACACAUGCUUGCCCAUACAUACACAUAUACCAGUGGCUAGCCAGGUAACCAAUGACACCACUUCAUUCACUACAUGACCAGCUGACUUCCUCUCAAAAUGAAGCAGUAUCAACCCGAGACAAAACAGCACACCCGCACAAGAUGAGUCAGGGUAAAUAAGGUCGGAGACUCAUUUCUGUGACUCGGUUUCACCACAGGGAUUGAACUUUUGCUCAUGUUCAUGACUACAAUACAUUAUAUUGUAUAGGCAGGCCUCGGAUUUAUCGCAACGGGAAUAGAAUUUCAGAAUGCCAGUCCAUUUAUACCAGGUGCUUAUAUGAUUAUUUUUUUUACUAAUGCUUGUACAAGUAUUUAUUUUAUUUGUAGGCCAUAAAUCCCCCCACUUCAAAAUUUUCUUCUGUUUCAGAAUGGUCAAUUCAGGGAAAAUAUCGGAAUCUGUUCAGUAUUAGUAAAAAGUUCUGAAUUGGCAAUAUUUUGGAUCAGUAAAUUGAAUUGGGCACAGCCCUUGUGGGUGGGUGUCACUAAACCAAGCACCGAAGAACUGUGAUAUAUGUACUGUACAGUAGGGUCGGGAUAUAUCACAAGAUAGGGUCCAAAGAUGUUCGCAAUAUACUAAAUCGCGAUGUAAUCAAUGGGAAAAAUAGGGUUAGGUUCUGGAGGGCAAAAAAAGUGACUAAACUUGAUUUAACGAGUUCAUUUUCUUACUAACUAAAGCACCAAUAAACACUAAACUCGGAAACAACAGGCUAUUUCAAUAUCAAUAUCUAGGAACGCCAGACUCGGCAGCUGACGUACCAUCCUGGGAUCACCAGACUUGGCAGUAGAUGCCACACUGCCACUCUCACUUAACGAACACCAAAAGUAUUAGCUACAGUAUUAUAUCUUUUCCUUUAAGCUUUCCAUUUUCUUCACUUCACUUUUCACACCACUAUCAACCCAUUUACACUCGCCUUAGAAGUCGUAAUCUGAAGCAGUUGGCUGCUUUCUCGUCACUCACUCAGAAAGACCGAGCGUGAAUGCGCGAGUGAGCAGCCACGGUGGUGCCUCAGGUUAGCAAAUAAUGCAUUAGUUUGCCAUGGCGGUACAUUUGAAAUAUUUACCUCAUGAAAUAACAAAUUACUGCUAUACUGUAUAUAGGAAAAUGUCGAUAAUUUUGGGAGCCACGAUAUAAAAAAUCUUUAUAAAAAGUGGCAAUAUAUCCCGACCAUGCUGUAUAUAUACCUUACUCCCCACAACACUCAAAUAUAGAUAUUAAGGCAUAACACAUUAGGUAACAAAGAAUCAAUAUGAAAGAAGCAUAUUCUUCUUUUUUUAUUUUCUACCAAUAUCAAUAGAAGUGAAUUUACAUUUCAAAUAUCUUAGGAUAUUAGUAUACCUGUACAUAGGUUACAUUUCAUACACAAACUGAAAAAAUUAAAUUAAGAUACAGAAAUGUCAGUUUCACUUGAGUGCACAAAAUAUAUUUCUCUUGUGUAUAACUGAUAUACAAAGGUUCUAGUAUACAGUACAGUAAACCCUCAAGUUUGGCGGCUUUCUGUUUGGCGAAUUCGAAGUUGGUGGUCAAAGUACCCCGCCCCCCAUUUUGCCGACCAAACCCUCACCUUUGGUGAAAGUUUAAAUUUAAAUGCAAUCGCAACUAAUAAUUGUAGAAUAAUAAGUGCAAGAUAAAUCUCGCUUAAUACUACCGGUGGGUGAGUAAAUGGCAAAGCGCCAGUCAGCUGUUGAGGUAGCCAUUUUGACCUCGUCAAUCCACAUUCCAGCCAUUUGUUUGAGUGACUUUGGCCUUUGUGUACAUUUUUUUUUCACUCUCGCUUGACAAGGUGUUCUCAUGCAGAUUAAUGGCCUCAAAAGUACCUGGGGUAUUGGAGGGGAUGAUAGUGGUGGUGUAAGACCGUCUGAGCGCCCAGACAGUUCAAAUGAUGGGGUAAAAACAAAGAAGAAAAAUUCUCGUGAGUAUUGAGUUGGGAAGAAAGUGAAAAAGUACUCAUUUGAGGAUAAGAGAAAGACAGGGGAUAUGACUGAGCUUAACAAAAGACUUUUAUUUUGAAGGCUUUGAUCUAGUGGUGGCAGUGGUGGAGGAGGGGGGUGACGGAUGUUAGCCUUCCUUCCCCAGCCUCAGAUACCAGCUUAGUGUACAUUAAGCUCCUCAACUUAUAAUUUUAAGGUUAGUUUUCAAUGUUUAUGUUGAUUAACUAAUUAUUCAUUCUCUUUCAGCAAUUAAAUAUAUGUUAUAUGUGGGUAAAAUAAGAAAAAAUUGAGACUUUGGGUGGCCCCUCAGUACCAAUUAGGCUUUUACCCAUUGGAUUAAGCCCUCUGGUUUGGCGAUGGUUUUUCGGCACCAAUUAGUCGCCAAACUGGAGGGUUUACUGUAGAUGAUUUCAUGACCUUAAAUUCCUACACCUUGUACUUUGCUAUAAUGCCUCUUUUUUCCACAUAUUAUCAUUGACAUGAGUACCAGUAAUUACUUUUCAAAUACAAAAUUAGAAUAAACCAUUUUCUUUCAUUUUUUUUGUUUUUUUAUCUAUCUGCUGCCCACAUCAACAAACAA